RNAcentral lists this ribosomal RNA (467 nucleotides) under uncultured Streptococcus sp. Its description in RNAcentral is "bacterial SSU rRNA". It matches the Rfam family "Bacterial small subunit ribosomal RNA", at positions 917 to 1381 of the family's 1533-position model. Lineage: Bacteria; Bacillati; Bacillota; Bacilli; Lactobacillales; Streptococcaceae. The record is from RNAcentral.
GACGGGGCCGCACAAGCGGUGGAGCAUGUUGGUUAAUUCGAAGCAACGCGAAGAACCUUACCAGGUCUUGACAUCCCGAUGCUAUUUCUAGAGAUAGAAAGUUACUUCGGUACAUCGGUGACAGGUGGUGCAUGGUUGUCGUCAGCUCGUGUCGUGAGAUGUUGGGUUAAGUCCCGCAACGAGCGCAACCCCUAUUGUUAGUUGCCAUCAUUCAGUUGGGCACUCUAGCGAGACUGCCGGUAAUAAACCGGAGGAAGGUGGGGAUGACGUCAAAUCAUCAUGCCCCUUAUGACCUGGGCUACACACGUGCUACAAUGGUUGGUACAACGAGUUGCGAGUCGGUGACGGCGAGCUAAUCUCUUAAAGCCAAUCUCAGUUCGGAUUGUAGGCUGCAACUCGCCUACAUGAAGUCGGAAUCGCUAGUAAUCGCGGAUCAGCACGCCGCGGUGAAUACGUUCCCGGGCCUU